Non-coding RNA from Misgurnus anguillicaudatus (oriental weatherfish), 541 nucleotides. NCBI's taxonomy places the organism in Eukaryota, Metazoa, Chordata, Actinopteri, Cypriniformes, Cobitidae. The record is from RefSeq and is a predicted model, not a curated record.
UUUAGAUUUGAGUAUUUAGGUAUUGAAUGUGAUGCUGGAGAUUGUAUAAUUAUUUUUCACUUUUCCUCAGUAUAAAGUGUUUUAUCAUUCACAUUUUUGUGUUGAAAUAGAUUAGCCUAUCCCCUGUAUGUCAUCGAUGCGCUACUUCAAAGAUGUGAGGAAAAGAACAUACACCUGCGAGUAGUCUGUUACAUUGCCUGUGUUAUUGCCUCACAUUUGCAGAUCAAGUACAGUACCAGAUGGCUUGAUGGGUUUGGGCUCACAGACGGGGAAGGAAUGGACAGGCUGUGGUCUUUCCUCCAAAGAUUUGCCAGAGUCACAAAGGAGAUGACUCCAUCUCAUCGCCUUGACCUACUGACUGAUGCCCUUUUGCAUUAGGGAUGGAGGAAAUCAACUGACCUAGGUGCAGCUACUGCAAAGAGUAGACAAAGCAGAGAAAAUAUUGAUUCUUGCUCAGGAAGAUAUCUCAUGUCAUCAGAGAGGCACCAGGUAAACAAUGCACAUAAGAAGCAGGUAACAAUUAGUUGUAGAUGAGAGAAUA